This 253-nucleotide ribosomal RNA is filed under the name uncultured bacterium. RNAcentral describes it as "partial 16S ribosomal RNA". It matches the Rfam family "Bacterial small subunit ribosomal RNA", at positions 524 to 776 of the family's 1533-position model. The record is from RNAcentral.
UACGAAGGGGGCUAGCGUUGCUCGGAAUUACUGGGCGUAAAGGGAGCGUAGGCGGGUUAUCAAGUUGGAGGUGAAAGCCCAGGGCUCAGCCUUGGAAUUGCCUUCAAAACUGAUAACCUAGAGGAUGAUAGAGGUAAGUGGAACUCCGAGUGUAGAGGUGAAAUUCGUAGAUAUUCGGAAGAACACCAGUGGCGAAGGCGACUUACUGGAUCAUUACUGACGCUGAGGCUCGAAAGCGUGGGGAGCAAACAGG